This 21-nucleotide non-coding RNA is filed under the name Arabidopsis thaliana (thale cress). Lineage: Eukaryota; Viridiplantae; Streptophyta; Magnoliopsida; Brassicales; Brassicaceae. The record is from RNAcentral. RNAcentral also lists the same sequence under 1 other name.
CGUGAGCUGGGUUUAGACCGU